UGGCUCAGGAUGAACGCUGGCGGCGUGCCUAACACAUGCAAGUCGAGCGGAGAUAAGUUGAAGCCUAGCGAUUCUUAUCUUAGCGGCGGAUGGGUGAGUAACACGUGGGUAACCUGCCCUGUACUGGGGAAUAACAGCUGGAAACGGCUGUUAAUGCCGCAUAUGCGCACGGAGCCGCAUGACUCCGGGCGGAAAGAUUUAUCGGUACAGGAUGGGCCCGCGCCGGAUUAACUAGUUGGCGGGGUAACGGCCCACCAAGGUGAUGAUCCGUAGCCGACCUGAGAGGGUGACCGGCCACAUUGGGACUGAGACACGGCCCAAACUCCUACGGGAGGCAGCAGUGGGGGAUAUUGCACAAUGGGGGAAACCCUGAAUGCAGCGACGCCGCGUGAAGGAUGACGUAUUUCGGUAUGUAAACUUCUAUCAGCGGGGAAGAAGAUGACGGUACCCGACUAAGAAGCCCCGGCUAACUACGUGCCAGCCGCCGC
This 488-nucleotide ribosomal RNA is filed under the name uncultured bacterium. RNAcentral describes it as "bacterial SSU rRNA". It matches the Rfam family "Bacterial small subunit ribosomal RNA", at positions 20 to 518 of the family's 1533-position model. The record is from RNAcentral.